UAGUCCACGCCGUAAACGAUGAGUACUAGUUAUUGGAGGUAUUGACUCCUUCAGUGACGCAGCUAACGCAUUAAGUACUCCGCCUGGGAAGUACGGUCGCAAGACUAAAACUCAAAGGAAUUGACGGGGGCCCGCACAAGCGGUGGAUUAUGUGGUUUAAUUCGAAGCAACGCGCAGAACCUUACCAAGACUUGAAAUCCUAGGAAUCCGACGUAAUGGUUGGAGUGCUCGCAAGAGAAUCUAGUGACAGGUGCUGCAUGGCUGUCGUCAGCUCGUGUUGCGAAAUGUUGGGUUAAGUCUCGCAACGAGCGCAACCCCUAUCUUUAGUUGCCAGCAUUAAGUUGGGCACUCUAGAGAGACUGCCCGGGUUAACCGGGAGGAAGGUGGGGAUGACGUCAAGUCCUCAUGGCCCUUAUGUCUUGGGCUACACACGUAAUACAAUGGUGCAUACAAAGGGAAGCGACCUGGUGACAGCAAGCAACUCGAGAGCAUGAAGUUGGAAUCGCU
This 507-nucleotide ribosomal RNA is filed under the name uncultured bacterium. Its description in RNAcentral is "bacterial SSU rRNA". It matches the Rfam family "Bacterial small subunit ribosomal RNA", at positions 791 to 1302 of the family's 1533-position model. The record is from RNAcentral.